Long non-coding RNA from Sander lucioperca (pikeperch), 70 nucleotides. RefSeq lists it as uncharacterized. The transcript has 3 exons. The record is from RefSeq and is a predicted model, not a curated record. Lineage: Eukaryota; Metazoa; Chordata; Actinopteri; Perciformes; Percidae.
AUCUCUGUAGUUCAAGCGACUUUGAGUCCAUGAAAAGCACUAUACAAAUUCAAUUUAUUAUUAUUAUUAU